ACUGCACAGCCAGAUGCUGGCUGGGCAAGUACUUGUGUUCCUCGGCCUGACCUGGGGCACCUUCCAGAGCCUGGCCAUCCCCAGGAUUGAAGAAUGUGGCCUCUCCUGUUCUCAGUUACAUAAAGUGUAAGUUGCUGAUUUCCCGGGUUUCGGAUGGUUCUGUCUCCCCCUUCUUGGAAUAUGAGCUCCUCUAGAGGGCUUCGCCUGCAGGAGCCACAGGAACCGGAACAUUUUUAACAGCUUCUGCCAGCCACGCCCCGUGUCCAUGUCCAUGUCUGUCCUGGAGACCCUGACCCCCUCCACUGCCAUGCAGUGCAUCACCCCUAACGGCUGCUCACUGCUCCUGCGUGUAUGCGCCUCCAUCACCCUGCACGAGCGCCUGCGGGGCCUGGAGGCCUGCACCACAAGCCUGGACACCCAGGAGACGCAGUGUCAGAGCGUGUGGGUGGCCAGGGCCUCCCACCAGCAGCAGGUGGGGCAGCAGCUCCAGGUGCAUUUUGGCUGCUUUGAGGUGAGCGUGGCACAGCACCUCUAUGUCACCCUGAGAACCAUCCCUCAUUUCUGCGGGGUCCAGCUGGACCAGUGGCACCUCGUGGAAGCCGGGCGGCUCAGCUACUGGGUGGACCGGAGGCGCAAGGCGGUUCUGGUGCAGGUGCCCCGGGCCUCGGGAAGCCCCGCCUACUUCGUGCGGCUCUGCCUCAAGCUGUUCACCUGCAAGGACGCCGGCGCCCCCGUGCUAGUGAACGCGAGCAGCGUCUCCCGGGCCGUCUCCCUGCCCUACAGCCAGGAGCUGCCAUGCCUGUGCCUGGAGGGCUGGCCUGCCACCCCUGACGCCGUGCGGACCCAGAUCUGCCCCUUUGAGAACGACACUCGGGCCCUGGAGAUGCUGUGGGACACAGUCCACUACCACCCCAGGAGCCAGACACUGAGCUGGGAGCCUGCCUGCCCUGUGAGUGGCCAAGUGAGCCUGUGCUGGUGCCCGGGGCCCGGGGACAGCUGCCAUAAGCUGCAGCACUCCAGCCAGCUGGCGCAUCACAGAGUGCAGUACCGGCUGGUGGACACCCAGCCCCAGCUCUGCCUGAAGUUCUCCACCAGCUGGGGGUCCUGGGUGCGGUGCCCUUUCAAACGGCGUCAGUUCCCAACCCCGCCAACUUCCAGGUGCACCUGUGUCACAGGAGGAGGUCACAGCUCCCAGCCUGCCAACCCGCACUCCAGGCCAGCCCACUUCCUCCAGCCUCAGCUGACCUCGAAGCUGCCCCUGCCAUUGCCUUCCUGGACCUUCCCAAGCAGAAGGCCUGUGCCCCAGGCAUCUGCAUCCAGGGCUGGAGGACCGAUGUGCACUUCUCUGUCCCACAGCAGUUCUGCAACCUCCACGCCAGGGGGUGCCCAGCUUUCAGGGGCCGCAGGGGGCCGAAGACUGGACUCAGGCACUCCCGGCCUCCCUCGGCGGGCUGGGCGUGGCGUGCGCUGAACAGGAGACUGGGUGGGGGGGAUGGGGAGACCACCCAGCCCUGAGCCAGGCUUUUGCACCAAGCCAAGGCCUGCACCCACCACUGCCCUCCAGCCUCGAAGUUCCCUGUACCACACGCCGCUGGCCUCCCGAACGCCCUCCCUGGCCUCACUCCAUCACUGGCCUGGCCGCCUCCUCCCUGAGGGUCCACCUCCCCUGAUCAGAACUCUGAUUCUAAUUGCGAGCGACUUGGGAUGUCCCUCAGCACACCAGCCACUGAGGCCCAGGUUCCCAGGACCCAGGGCACAUCGGGACUGGACUGCCCAGUGGACAGAACUAAGCACGUGUGUCCUGGGUGUGGUCAGGAGCGUGGCUCUGCCUUGGAGUCCAGGAAGGGUCAGAGCUGGCACUCCCACCUGCCCCCCUCCCUGUGAGCUCCAGAGCUCCCCUAGCUUCAGGUGGGAUGAACUGCAAGAGCCACAGAGGUGGGAGGGGUGGGCGGGGGUGGAUAGGACAGCUGGGCACCCGGGGCCCCUGGAGACCCUUUCCAGGGAGCACCAGCAGGCCAGACAGGGGUCUCUAGAAUGUCCCCUCAGCUCAGCGAGCCACGCCAUUUCAGGACAGCUUGCAGCCUGCUGCCCCAGGACGUGCCCAGGGCCAUGGCAGGACCCACACACUUUUAUCUCCUCCUCCCAGCAGGACUUUUUGGCCAAGCCUGGGUCCCCCUCCCCAGCAAAGAUCACCUCCAGCAGAUCACAGACCAAAGAGGUGGUGGCCCCCUGCUGGUCAAGUGUCCCUGGGGCUGGGCCAGCCACUGUGGAGUGCCCGUGCCACACUGGGAAGUCCACGGCCCCAGAGACCAGCCCUUGAGGCAGCAGAAGGGCUGGGCCUGACUUAAGUGGGGGAAUGUUGGCAGACCUGAGGGGCACACAUGCUGCUCUCGGGGUUGGGGUGGAUCCCUCUUUCACUUGUCUGCUGAGGGUCCCUACAGCCAGGAGGCUGACAUCCACAGCCACUGCCCUCCAGGACUGGGCAGCCCCUCCCCUUCCCCCACAUUGUCUCAGCCUCCCACAGUGUGGGCAGGGCUGGGGGGUGCCCCACAUCUCUCUCCAGCUGCACCCACCCCCCUGGGACCACAGCCUGAGGCCAGGAACCUCCUCACGAACAAGUAGGUGCCAGCGCCACACUGCUGGGGGGCAGGAGGCCAAGGCGCAGCCCCCGACAGCUGAGCCAGGCCCCGUCAGAGUGCGGGUGAUCUCACCUGACCGUGGGGCCCAGGCACCUGCUGGCUCUCCUGGGGCUGCAGCUCACAGGGGCUCCAGGUCACAUAGAAGACCUUCAGCCCUUUCCUGAGUCCCCUGGGAACAGCAGGACCUGGGUGGGCUGCCCCUUCCCCAGAUGGCCAAGGUGCUGGCCCUGCCAUGCUGGACCCCAGCCUCCCUCUCAGAAAACUCAUGGUCAUGGCCACAGUCCCUGGCCCUGAAAUCAAGGUCCUGGAGGCCUGGCAGCUGCCCAGAGCCUCCCGGUGCUCCAGGGUGCAGGAUGCAACCCCCCUUCCUGUAGCUGACCAGGCUCAAGGUGGUCGAGGAUCACCCCAGCUUGUGCCCAGAGCACCCCUCCUGGCUGGAGUCACGUCUCCUGUCUGUGCACCUCUGAGUGCUGAACUUCACUGCAGCACCCACCCUGCCCAAACCCCUCCAGGGGGUCUCAGCUUCCCCAGAUCCCAGCUCCACUUAUGCAGCAAGAUUCUGCCACUUCCUGUGGCCUCAGAGGCUGCCUGCCUGAGGGCCCUCUGCUGGGAUGUGCAGUUCUCAGACAUUUCAAGUGGCACAUCCAGGCCCUAGCCAGGGGUCCCCAGCAGUGGUCUGUGCAGUGGGCUAUGCGGUCAGCCCUUGAAGAACUCCCGUGUGGGCCCCGUUGCCACCAGGCUCCCGCACUGAGCCGCCCUCUGGAGCCUGGACGUUCUCUCAGGUGAGUGCUGUGCAGGGCCAUGUGCCCAGCCAGACACA
Molecule: RNA transcript, 3459 nt
Organism: Cebus imitator (Panamanian white-faced capuchin)
Lineage: Eukaryota; Metazoa; Chordata; Mammalia; Primates; Cebidae
Gene: IL17REL
Gene name: interleukin 17 receptor E like
Exons: 16
Source: RefSeq, a predicted model, not a curated record